AGAGUUUGAUCAUGGCUCAGAAUGAACGCUGGCGGCGUGCCUAACACAUGCAAGUCGGAUGUGCCGCAAGGUGCAUGGCAGACGGGUGAGUAACGCGUGGGGAACCUACCUCUUUGUGGGGAAUAACGCUCCGAAAGGAGUGGUAAUACCGCAUGAGACCACGAGCUGGGACGCUCGUGGUGAAACCUGGGGACCGCAAGGCCUGGGGCAAGGAGAGGGUCCUGCGUCUGAUUAGCUAGUUGGUGGGGUAACGGCCUACCAAGGCGACGAUCAGUAGCCGGCCUGAGAGGGUGAUCGGCCACACUGGAACUGAGACACGGUCCAGACUCCUACGGGAGGCAGCAGUGGGGAAUUUUGCGCAAUGGGCGAAAGCCUGACGCAGCAACGCCGCGUGGGUGAUGAAGGUCUUCGGAUCGUAAAACCCUGUCGUCAGGGACGAAGGUUGCGGGUUGAAUAGGCUCGUAGCUUGACGGUACCUGGAGAGGAAGCCCCGGCUAACUCUGUGCCAGCAGCCGCGGUAAUACAGAGGGGGCAAGCGUUAUUCGUAAUUAUUGGGCGUAAAGGGCGCGUAGGCGGUUUUUUUAAGUGAGAUGUGCAAUCCCCGAGCUUAACUUGGGAACUGCAUCUCAGACUGGAAGGCUAGAGUGCUGGAGAGGGUGGUAGAAUUCCACGUGUAGCGGUGAAAUGCGUAGAGAUGUGGAGGAAUACCAGUGGCGAAGGCGGCCACCUGGACAGUAACUGACGCUGAGGCGCGAAAGUGUGGGUAGCAAACAGGAUUAGAUACCCUGGUAGUCCACGCUGUAAACGAUGAACACUUGG
This 819-nucleotide ribosomal RNA is filed under the name uncultured bacterium. RNAcentral's name for it is "bacterial SSU rRNA". It matches the Rfam family "Bacterial small subunit ribosomal RNA", at positions 8 to 820 of the family's 1533-position model. The record is from RNAcentral.